CAGUCGCCGCGGUAAUACGAAGGGGGCUAGCGUUGUUCGGAAUUACUGGGCGUAAAGGGCGCGUAGGCGGCCAUUCAAGUUAGAUGUGAAAGCCCUGGGCUCAACCUAGGAAUUGCAUUUGAUACUGUUUGGCUUGAGUUCGGGAGAGGUGAGUGGAAUUCCCAGUGUAGAGGUGAAAUUCGUAGAUAUUGGGAGGAACACCAGUGGCGAAGGCGGCUCACUGGACCGACACUGACGCUGAGGCGCGAAAGCGUGGGGAGCAAACAGGAUUAGAUACCCCGGUAGUCCCUGUCUCUUAUAC
Molecule: ribosomal RNA, 301 nt
Filed under: uncultured bacterium
Lineage: Bacteria
Description: partial 16S ribosomal RNA
Rfam family: Bacterial small subunit ribosomal RNA
Source: RNAcentral